This 298-nucleotide ribosomal RNA is filed under the name Klebsiella pneumoniae subsp. pneumoniae. RNAcentral describes it as "partial 16S ribosomal RNA". It matches the Rfam family "Bacterial small subunit ribosomal RNA", at positions 487 to 784 of the family's 1533-position model. Lineage: Bacteria; Pseudomonadati; Pseudomonadota; Gammaproteobacteria; Enterobacterales; Enterobacteriaceae. The record is from RNAcentral.
GAAGCACCGGCUAACUCCGUGCCAGCAGCCGCGGUAAUACGGAGGGUGCAAGCGUUAAUCGGAAUUACUGGGCGUAAAGCGCACGCAGGCGGUCUGUCAAGUCGGAUGUGAAAUCCCCGGGCUCAACCUGGGAACUGCAUUCGAAACUGGCAGGCUAGAGUCUUGUAGAGGGGGGUAGAAUUCCAGGUGUAGCGGUGAAAUGCGUAGAGAUCUGGAGGAAUACCGGUGGCGAAGGCGGCCCCCUGGACAAAGACUGACGCUCAGGUGCGAAAGCGUGGGGAGCAAACAGGAUUAGAUA